AGCGCUUUAAGCCAAUGGGGUGUGGUGCUGGCCCUGCUAACUUGGCCCAUUCAAAGUCAACUUAUGCCAACCAUCUGUCAGCAACAGGAGCUAGAGUUCUCCACACUCAUGCGGCUACUUAUGCAAAAUCCUUGACUCCGCCACUAGACGACACCCGUUGCUGCUCAUCUACACAAGCACAUGGGAGCUCUGAUUACCGGCGCUCGGGGAGCGGGACAAAGGACAAUGGAGCAGCGGGACAGAGGGACAGCCGGUGCAGCGGAGUGAGACGGCGGAGACACACAAUUGUGUUGAUUGCACAGAUGACAAGACCUAGGACGAGAUGACAACUUUGCUGCCUGCCAGCCUUGAUGACAAUGAAGUGCAUGCAUGAAUAUUCUAAUCAAAUGAGCCGCCAGCCUGUUCUGGCUCCUGGUCCCACUUCCCAGCUCCCUGGCUUCUCAUGGCUUCUGCCUCUGUUCCAGCCAUUGUCGAGCUGUAAAAUUUUUCGCCUCCACCACAUGGUUACACAUGAAGAAAUUGCCUAAAUGCUAGGAUACAAAACAUAAUUGAUCCGGAACUAAAACACAAUGGUCACUUGAAUCUUAAAUUUGGCUCUAUAUGGAUACGCUAUAGUCGUAAAAUAUUGUUUUUAUACAAUAGAAAGCUGAUAAG
Non-coding RNA from Drosophila melanogaster (fruit fly), 654 nucleotides. The record is from Ensembl. Lineage: Eukaryota; Metazoa; Arthropoda; Insecta; Diptera; Drosophilidae.